Astatotilapia calliptera (eastern happy) is the source of this 3388-nucleotide long non-coding RNA. Lineage: Eukaryota; Metazoa; Chordata; Actinopteri; Cichliformes; Cichlidae. The record is from Ensembl.
ACUAUGUGUUUAUACAUCUCUCUGCAUUUGAUUAUUAGCUAUGAUUAUUGUUUUUACCUGUCCCAGUUUCUCCAGUAAUGUACAGCAUUCAUUUGUUGAUUAUUUAUCAAACAUAAAAUUCUCACCCUUUUAUUCUGCUUUUAAAAAAAGAAAAGAAGAAAAAAGAUAGUGGUUUAUAUUUUAAAACACUGUCGCCAAAAGAAAAAAAAAAGACUUCUUGUGGAAUUCAUAUUCAUUAUCUUUUGUAUAUUUUUUUCUCAUUAAUGCAGUUGUACUGUGUAUUUUUCCAAUUUGUUUUGCAGGAAAGUAUUUUAAAGAAGAAUUAGAUAAAGUUAAAAGCGACACCAGCCAGGAAACGGCUCUUUCUAAUCUGUAGCGAUGACAGGAAGUACGUAAAAGUUCGCGCAUGUGUAAAGCAAACCUUACCCUGCGAGUCAUCGCUGAGGGUUUAAAGCAUAUGUUUUUGUUUCUGUUUCGUGUGCAGUCAUUUGUGUUGAUCUUUUUAUUACUUUGAUUUGCAGUGACUCUUCCCGCAGGAACAUUUCUAUGGGACAGCACUUAAUUGAGACUUCCAGUAAUGUCAGGUUGCUCGGUUAUCCCUCUGACGUUACCGCAGCGGGACGGGGGCGCGAGGAGGAUUCGUUUCAUUCACCUGGUGGGUCUGACAUCGUUCAGACUGACAGAGAGCACCAAACAGGUGAGUUAAUGGUUCACAGGUAGUCCAAGAGGGUGAUGUAUUACCACCAGCAUAAUAAACACAUCUCCUUACUUGCAGGACGGUCGCAGACUUUCUAAUUGGAUAGUGAUAAGUAAUGUUUAACAAACAAGUACUGUAGCUAACUAAAAACAAAAAACAGCUUAGUAAAAUAAAUAAAUAAAUAAAUAAAGCUUGACUAAUACUAUACUGCAGUUUUACACUCAUCGGGCAUUUUAUUAAGUACACCUUAUUAGUACUGGGUUGGGCCUACUGUUGCCUCCAGAGCCAGCUUAAAUCUUUGUGGCACAGAUUCAACAAGGAGCUGGGUACCUUCCUCUGAGAUUUUGAUCACACACAGCUCCUGCAGAUUUGUCGGCUGAACAUCCAUGAUGUGAAUCUCCUGUUCCAGGACAUCCUCCUGGAGUUGGACCUGGUGGCUGUGGCGGCCAUGUGUGUACAGUGAACUCAUUUUCGCUGCCAGUUUGAGAUUAUUUGAGCUUUGUGACAUGCUAUGUUAUCCUCCUGGAAGCAGAAGAUGGGUAAACUGUGGUCAUAAAAGCUGGACAUGGGUUCAACGAUUCCGCUCUAUUUGGGAGCCGAUCUCCUCUCAAAGACUGAUGUGCGUACAGAAAACCAUCCAAGACACCAUGCCAAGUUUGCCAAGAAAGGCCUUGCAACAAAAAUAACUUUUUCCUCAGCUUUCAGGUUUCACGGCUUGAAGGUACCCUCUGCAAAUAACAGCCUGUGGUUCUACAGCAUUCAGGGACUUUUUCGAGUAGCCUUUGAGUUGUACAGUAAGCAAGAUCAGCUUGCUGUGCUGGAGAAUUUCCAGGAUGUCUGGAAAGCACAGAUCAGUGACAGCCCUCUGGAAGUGAGUUACAGCCUCAGCGUGCAGCUGGACCCUUCAGGGUCGCUCAGCCAGCGUGACUCACAAUCAAAGGGUGUAAUAUCACAGCCUCCUUAUUUCCAGGCUGACAAGGAUGUGGUAGAUGUUAGUAGCAUGGACACUGCUGACACAUCAGCAGAUCAUGAUUAUUGUUCUCUUCCCAAGCAGAGCUUACAAUCUGAGCAAAGAGAAGUAGUAAUAUCCACAGUGAGACAAAAAUUGCACCGCUUGGAUGAACAGUUCUCCUCGGAGCCUCGAAGCUGCUCAGAGCAGCUGGAGACGGUCUUGCUGCUUUUGGAGAACAUUGAUCGCUACAUAAAUGGGAGACUUGAAGAAAAAGAUGCGACGGAGAUUGUGCUGGCUCUGCUAAAGGCCAAAGACUGGGGCCCAGUGUAUUCAAGCAGCCUGCUCACUUGUAUAGGACGUUGGCUUGGCCAGCAGUUUCAUGCAGCCAACAGCAGCAUCAGCCAGAAGGUGGAGGGCUUUAAACUUCAGCACAUUGAGCGCAUCAGCGACCUGCCACCUGCUGAGGAACUAGCCACAGAGCUGUUCCCUGAAGCGAUGCGGACGCUGCUGCUUCACUGGAUGGGCUUAAGUGAGGACUUCAGCCUUGAAAAGAGACGCAGCGAAUACCCAAUCCUGCUCCUCAUCCUCGAGUUUGCCAACCACAACCUCAUCACUGGCGUAGCUCAUGUGUUGUACUCCAGUCUUAUAUGCAGGUAAAAGUGUCAACAUAAGACCUGUUUUUCAAUGGAACAACGUUUUAUAUUCAAAUAAAGGUUUAUUUUGUGCGUGUGUGUACAUUACUAUACAUAUGACUCCUCUUAGGUUGGGUAAGGUUCAGUAUUAGCAAAAACAUUUGUUACACAGUACCCUGCAAAAAUCACCAGAUUCUCAUUUCUUACUUUUGCUAGGAAAAGAGAUAUGGGUGGAGAUUGAUCAAAACACACUAUCUAAUAUAGAAAGAACAGUGGCUGAGAUCCAAACAAGCUUAAAGUCAGUAUCUGGUUGUGACCACCUUUAUUAGUGUUUCAUUGUGUUUUUACUGUCUAGGUAUGUUUUUGCUGCAUUGACAGUGUGCUUGGGGUCACUGUUAUGCUAAAAAAAUAAAACCUCUGACCAUCAGAUAUUUCCAGGUGGUAUUGACUGGUGGAUCAAAAUCUGACUGUACUUUUCUGGGUUCACAGUUCAAUCAGUUUUGAUUAAAUCUCUGGCACCACUGGCUGAAAUGCAGCUCUAUGACAGAGCCUCCACCAUGUUUUACACACAGUAGCAGAAGAUACAGUUGUACCUCUCUUCUGAACUUGUCUGUAUAUCGUGACGAUGAUUUGAACCAAAAAUGUAAAAUAUGGAUUCAUCUCUCCAUCAGACCCGUUGUCACUGAUUUUCAGGUACUGUUUAUCUGCUGUGGGCUAGUUUUUGGGUUUUUAGGUCCUCCACUUGUCCAGUUUCUUCUGAUUUAUUUUAUUGAUACAAUGCACACUAUCCUGAGAUAUGCCAGGUUCAUGGCUAAAGGUUCUUUGGGAAUCACCUUGGUGGUGUAAACAUUAUUUUUGAAACACGUUAUGAUCCAACCAUAUCACAUAAAAGGAAAUGCUGCGACGUGUUCUAAAACUUUUUUAAGACACAAAAUUUAUUUAUUUGAAACACAUUAAAAAGUACAAAAGAACAUUUGAAACACAUUUACUCCUCCCCACUCAUCUCUGUGCAGGACAAUUUACAGGAAUUGUCCUGCAGGGGCCAGCAGUUCCCUGGAGGCCCAGGUAAAUAUUCCUGAGGAAAGAAAAUUAAUUAUUACGCUGCCC